GAACCGAGCGAACGUUGUUCGGAAUCACUGGGCUUAAAGGGCGCGUAGGCGGCUUGCCAAGUCAGGGGUGAAAUUUUGCGGCUUAACCGUAACAGUGCCUUUGAUACUGGCAGGCUAGAGGGAGAUAGGGGUUCGCGGAACUUCUGGUGGAGCGGUGAAAUGCGUUGAUAUCAGAAGGAACGCCGGUGGCGAAAGCGGCGGACUGGAUCUCUUCUGACGCUGAGGCGCGAAAGCUAGGGGAGCAAACGGGAUUAGAUACCCCGGUAGUCCUAGCCCUAAACGAUGGGUACUAGAUUGUAAGCGUGACAUGCGCCUACAGUCGAAGCAAAAGUGUUAAGUACCCCGCCUGGGGAGUAUGGUCGCAAGGCUGAA
RNAcentral lists this ribosomal RNA (372 nucleotides) under uncultured bacterium. RNAcentral's name for it is "bacterial SSU rRNA". It matches the Rfam family "Bacterial small subunit ribosomal RNA", at positions 527 to 898 of the family's 1533-position model. The record is from RNAcentral.